Molecule: long non-coding RNA, 882 nt
Organism: Oryzias melastigma (Indian medaka)
Lineage: Eukaryota; Metazoa; Chordata; Actinopteri; Beloniformes; Adrianichthyidae
Exons: 2
Source: RefSeq, a predicted model, not a curated record
CGCUGGGACGCAGGAAGGCCGUCCAGCUGUUCGGCGGGGAGAUUAGAGCAUGUCCUGUCAUUGUCUCCCUGGCAACAACAUCUGCACAGGAAGGCAAACAUCUGCCCUCUCAGCAACCCCGACCAGACUCCAGCGCAACACCCAACAGGCAGCACUCAACUAAAGUUCAGAUCACAGAAGUGGACUGACUGCUGCAGCACACUAGACUCUACAGGACGGAGAAUCUAACAGCAAAACGGAGAAAAGCCUCGAGCUGAAGGACGCUGAGGAACACGGGAGAGGAAACCCAAACACAAAGAGGGGAGGAAAAGGAUGAGAAAACAAAAGUGUCAUGACAAACCAAAGGAAAGGGAGGGCUGUCUGACACACAAGAGGAAGAUGAAGAGGAUGAGGAGGAUGGAGUCUGCUCUGGAGUCAGCCUGACAUGGGAGGGAGCAUCGUCGCUUCAUCCCAACAGAACAUUAAAAUAUUUAUAUAUAUAUGUCAACUACAAAACUAAAACUUCUUCAUAAGAACCAGAAAAAAGCUGCAACACUUUAAACCUUAACAAAAUAAUUGCAUUUACUAGUGUUUUAAAUAUUUAAAAAUAAACAUUUAUUCUCAUUUUUCUACCAAGCCUCGUAACAUUUCCAGCAUUUUCUCAUCAAAAUCUCACUGAUUUCCUUUUACUUUCCCGAUAAAUAAAGAAUAAUCUUUUUGCUCGUGGUGGUAAACAACAGAAAAUCCAGACAUUUUCAGUGCAGUGUUGAUCUUCCAACAGCAAAAACAGGAUGUUGAUUUUAAAUGAGCGACUACAAUCAGUCCAAUAACCCAUCAGUCUGCCAUCAGUGCAAUCAGGGAGAGGUAUUUUUGGUGCAGUGAAAUAUGAAAGAGAAAAAAAAA